RNAcentral lists this ribosomal RNA (482 nucleotides) under uncultured bacterium. RNAcentral describes it as "partial 16S ribosomal RNA". It matches the Rfam family "Bacterial small subunit ribosomal RNA", at positions 30 to 507 of the family's 1533-position model. The record is from RNAcentral.
AUUGAACGCUGGCGGCAUGCUUUACACAUGCAAGUCGAACGGUAACAGCACUUCGGUGGCUGACGAGUGGCGAACGGGUGAGUAAUACAUCGGAACGUGCCUAGUAGUGGGGGAUAACUACUCGAAAGAGUAGCUAAUACCGCAUGAGAUCUAAGGAUGAAAGCAGGGGACCUUCGGGCCUUGCGCUACUAGAGCGGCUGAUGGCAGAUUAGGUAGUUGGUGGGAUAAAAGCUUACCAAGCCGACUAUCUGUAGCUGGUCUGAGAGGACGACCAGCCACACUGGGACUGAGACACGGCCCAGACUCCUACGGUAGGCAGCAGUGGGGAAUUUUGGACAAUGGGCGCAAGCCUGAUCCAGCAAUGCCGCGUGCAGGAUGAAGGCCUUCGGGUUGGAAACUGCUUUUGUACGGAACGAAAAGCCCUCUUCUAAUACAGGAGGGUCAUGACGGUACCGAAAGAAUAAGCACCGGCUAACUACGUG